This 29-nucleotide small RNA is filed under the name Bombyx mori (domestic silkworm). RNAcentral describes it as "piRNA piR-bmo-1473840". Lineage: Eukaryota; Metazoa; Arthropoda; Insecta; Lepidoptera; Bombycidae. The record is from RNAcentral.
UUUCUCGACCGCACGGAGGGAUUCUCCUC